This 301-nucleotide ribosomal RNA is filed under the name uncultured bacterium. Its description in RNAcentral is "partial 16S ribosomal RNA". It matches the Rfam family "Bacterial small subunit ribosomal RNA", at positions 509 to 808 of the family's 1533-position model. The record is from RNAcentral.
CAGCCGCCGCGGGAACACGUAGGGUGCAAGCGUUAAUCGGAAUUACUGGGCGUAAAGCGUGCGCAGGCGGUUAUAUAAGACAGAUGUGAAAUCCCCGGGCUCAACCUGGGAACUGCAUUUGUGACUGUAUAGCUAGAGUACGGCAGAGGGGGAUGGAAUUCCGCGUGUAGCAGUGAAAUGCGUAGAUAUGCGGAGGAACACCGAUGGCGAAGGCAAUCCCCUGGGCCUGUACUGACGCUCAUGCACGAAAGCGUGGGGAGCAAACAGGAUUAGAUACCCUGUAGUCCCUGUCUCUUAUACA